This is a long non-coding RNA of Notolabrus celidotus (New Zealand spotty), 337 nucleotides long. RefSeq lists it as uncharacterized. NCBI's taxonomy places the organism in Eukaryota, Metazoa, Chordata, Actinopteri, Labriformes, Labridae. The record is from RefSeq and is a predicted model, not a curated record. The transcript has 3 exons.
UGUCACUUUAUGUUUUCCUGCAUGUUCCUGUGUUCGCAGUGCUCUCAGUGUUCUUGUUUUUACACAGGUUUGUUUGAUGCUAACUCCAUCAACGAGGGCGCUAACAUUGCUCUGCUGCCAAAGGGAGGAGGAGGAGAGUGAUUAAGAGGACUGAACAAGGAGCAGCAAUACUACUGACCAUGACAAUCAUCAUAUGCAAACAUUGGCGACUUAGAGGACAAAAUAAACAGACAUUAACUGCAAGCGUGUCCUGGUGGUUUGCAGCUCCAGUUUGAAUCUGUAUCACUAUCCAACAGUUAUCAUCUUCACUUGUAUUAAAUAUCCUCUGAGCCUUGAA